Molecule: ribosomal RNA, 780 nt
Filed under: uncultured bacterium
Lineage: Bacteria
Description: bacterial SSU rRNA
Rfam family: Bacterial small subunit ribosomal RNA
Source: RNAcentral
GAUGAACGCUAGCUACAGGCUUAACACAUGCAAGUCGAGGGGCAUCACGGGGUACCGGCGACGGUACUCUGGUGGCGACCGGCGCACGGGUGAGUAACGCGUAUCCAACCUGCCUGUCAUCCGGGGACAGCCUUGCGAAAGUAAGAUUAAUCCCCGAUGCGGUGCGUGGUCCGCAUGGGCGUCGCACGAAAGGUGGACGAUGACGGAUGGGGAUGCGUUCCAUUAGAUGGUAGGCGGGGUAACGGCCCACCUAGUCUUCGAUGGAUAGGGGUUCUGAGAGGAAGGUCCCCCACAUUGGAACUGAGACACGGUCCAAACUCCUACGGGAGGCAGCAGUGAGGAAUAUUGGUCAAUGGACGGAAGUCUGAACCAGCCAAGUAGCGUGAAGGAAGGCGGCCCUACGGGUUGUAAACUUCUUUUAUAAGGGAUUAAAGGGCUCCACGAGUGGGGCGUUGCACGUACCUUAUGAAUAAGCAUCGGCUAACUCCGUGCCAGCAGCCGCGGUAAUACGGAGGAUGCGAGCGUUAUCCGGAUUUAUUGGGUUUAAAGGGAGCGUAGAUGGCUUGUUAAGUCAGCGGUGAAAGUUCGUGGCUCAACCAUGAAACCGCCGUUGAGACUGGCAUGCUUGAGUACGGUCGCGGCAGGCGGAAUUCGUGGUGUAGCGGUGAAAUGCAUAGAUGUCACGAAGAACCCCGAUUGCGAAAGCAGCUUGCCAGCCCGUCACUGACAUUGAUGCUCGAAAGUGUGGGUAUCGAACAGGAUUAGAUACCCUGGUAGUCC